UGAUGUUAAGGCAAUUUCGAUUAGAUUUGGUCAGGGGCAGAUAACCCCGCAGGUACCUCAUUAUGUAUUCAUAUAUUCAUUAAUGGCGGAGAGUACCUAAGCCGCGUCUAUCGAUAAAACUGUAUGAAAUCAAAUUACAUACAUGCCUGUUAAUUAAAAACAGGUAUCCAUAUGGUGUAAUUUGUUUACUGAAACACGAAUAUUGUAUGUUUGUGCUUUAAUUAUUAUGGUAAACGGUUGCAAUAGCUGUUUUUUGUGCCAAGAUUGUCGGCUUGUGGACACCGCCUCCUUUUGAUGAUCAACCAAUCAGUAGACGAUCGCCGUCGAACAAAUGUUUGUAGUUUGCAGAAUGGAAAGCACCUUGCAGCGGAAAUUGUUUUCACUUCUACGUGAAAAUCUAGCCAGAAAACUGACCUGUCAAAUAUAAGAAACAGAAUGCUAUUCCAGCUUUGAUGAACUAUAAAGUAAUGGUUUGAAUUUGAAAAGCUUUAUUAUUAGACAGGGAUGAUGACCUGCAGUGAGACAGCAGUAGAAAGUUACAUAUAGCUCAUCAUGACCAUUAUGAAAGAUCAGAUCAGAUGAAAAUUAUGUUUAGAAAGCCACCAAAUAUGUCUAUGAAAAGUAGAAAAAAGACAGCAAUUCUAUGUAAAGUACU
Long non-coding RNA from Mytilus californianus (California mussel), 655 nucleotides. RefSeq lists it as uncharacterized. Lineage: Eukaryota; Metazoa; Mollusca; Bivalvia; Mytilida; Mytilidae. The record is from RefSeq and is a predicted model, not a curated record. The transcript is spliced from 3 exons.